RNAcentral lists this transfer RNA (69 nucleotides) under chicken gut metagenome. It matches the Rfam family "tRNA". Rfam says of the family: Transfer RNA (tRNA) molecules are approximately 80 nucleotides in length. Their secondary structure includes four short double-helical elements and three loops (D, anti-codon, and T loops). Further hydrogen bonds mediate the characteristic L-shaped molecular structure. tRNAs have two regions of fundamental functional importance: the anti-codon, which is responsible for specific mRNA codon recognition, and the 3' end, to which the tRNAs corresponding amino acid is attached (by aminoacyl-tRNA synthetases). tRNAs cope with the degeneracy of the genetic code in two manners: having more than one tRNA (with a specific anti-codon) for a particular amino acid; and 'wobble' base-pairing, i.e. permitting non-standard base-pairing at the 3rd anti-codon position. The record is from RNAcentral.
AGGUGUAGCGCAGUUUGGUAGCGCGCUUGGUUCGGGACCAAGAGGUCGUGGGUUCAAAUCCCGUCACCU